CCUACGGGAGGCAGCAGUGGGGAAUAUUGCACAAUGGGCGAAAGCCUGAUGCAGCGACGCCGCGUGAAGGAUGAAGGUCUUCGGAUUGUAAACUUCUAUCAGCAGGGAAGAAAAAAUGACGGUACCUGACUAAGAAGCUCCGGCUAACUACGUGCCAGCAGCCGCGGUAAU
Molecule: ribosomal RNA, 171 nt
Filed under: uncultured bacterium
Lineage: Bacteria
Description: partial 16S ribosomal RNA
Rfam family: Bacterial small subunit ribosomal RNA
Source: RNAcentral